RNAcentral lists this long non-coding RNA (1112 nucleotides) under Brassica napus (rape). Its description in RNAcentral is "long non-coding RNA (BNAP_LNC006268)". The record is from RNAcentral. Lineage: Eukaryota; Viridiplantae; Streptophyta; Magnoliopsida; Brassicales; Brassicaceae.
AGUUUAGGUAUGUAUCAUUAAUGCUGUUAAACGUUAUACCAAGACGUGCAAAUAUGUCCUUUUGAGUUUUGACUUAGUCCAAAUGUAGCCUUUGUUUAUCUUUGAUUUUUUUUUGUAAAGUUUCCCUUUGUUUUGGGCUUUGUCACCGGAAAAACUUAGUUUUUGCCGGAUUUGUCUCCAGGGUUAUGUUUCAUACCACCGGCUUCGUGUAUCAAAAACGUAUCCCACCCUUGUAUCUUUGAAGUUAAUCUAAUCUUACUGUAAAAAAAAGAAGAGUUUUGACUUAGUCGUGGUUACUAUGAAUACGAACCGGGCAAGCGAGUGUGUCUAUCCAAAAUCACAACUACUAUAAGUACCAUGUCAACUAAAAUUUUAAUAACCAUUAAACCAUCCGGUCGUACAUAACUAUUAUCUAGACUUAUGUCAAAAAAAAAAACCAUAUCUAGACUUCGCACUCACAUCAGCUGGAGUUUGUUUCCAAGGAAUCUAAUAAAACUGGAAAACAAAGUAGAGUAAAAUGGCUGCAAAAUAUGUAAAAAAGAAAAACCAAUCAUACACUUCAUCAUACAUUCUUUUUUUUCUCCUUUUGUAAAAGUGGAUUCGUCAAAUAGUAUUCUAGAUAAAUAAAUAAAAUUGAAACAUAUAUUUAUUUUGUGUUAACUAUGAAGAGUUUGAGCCGAUUUAAUUUCCCAGAUCUGGAACUUGCGUACGUUAAUAGAUAUAGAGACAUGGUAUAUUCACUUUUUCAUUAAAUUUCAAAUUAGGAAUAUCAAUACAUACGUUUAAACGUAAUUUUCAUGUGUUCAUUUUUAAACUUAUUCUCAACAUUUUUAAAAUGAAACUCGUUAGAAUAAAAGUACAAAGAGGUAAAAAGAUAAAAAUACAUUCUAACCAACUAUUAUUAUUAUUUUUCUCUCAGCGGAUCACAUUCUUGCAACUAUUCAAAUUAGACAAAAAUACAUAGUUCUCCAACUUUUCUUUGGACAUAAAUUUCCAACAAAUUAGCAAGAAGAAAAAAUUGACAUACAAUUGCAACUAGUGUAGGUAUUACAGUUAAGCAACGGUACAUAUUAGGCAACUAAACUGGACUCACCACACUUUCCUGACUCUCU